AGUGAACGCUGGCGGUAGGCCUAACACAUGCAAGUCGAACGGCAGCACAGGAGAGCUUGCUCUCUGGGUGGCGAGUGGCGGACGGGUGAGGAAUACAUCGGAAUCUACUUUUUCGUGGGGGAUAACGUAGGGAAACUUACGCUAAUACCGCAUACGACCUACGGGUGAAAGCAGGGGAUCUUCGUACUUUGCGCGAUUGAAUGAGCCGAUGUCGGAUUAGCUAGUUGGCGGGGUAAAGGCCCACCAAGGCGACGAUCCGUAGCUGGUCUGAGAGGAUGAUCAGCCACACUGGAACUGAGACACGGUCCAGACUCCUACGGGAGGCAGCAGUGGGGAAUAUUGGACAAUGGGCGCAAGCCUGAUCCAGCCAUACCGCGUGGGUGAAGAAGGCCUUCGGGUUGUAAAGCCCUUUUGUUGGGAAAGAAAUCCAGCUGGUUAAUACCCGGUUGGGAUGACGGUACCCAAAGAAUAAGCACCGGCUAACUUCGUGCCAGCCGCCGCAGUAA
RNAcentral lists this ribosomal RNA (506 nucleotides) under uncultured bacterium. RNAcentral's name for it is "partial 16S ribosomal RNA". It matches the Rfam family "Bacterial small subunit ribosomal RNA", at positions 29 to 523 of the family's 1533-position model. The record is from RNAcentral.